This 613-nucleotide ribosomal RNA is filed under the name uncultured bacterium. RNAcentral's name for it is "bacterial SSU rRNA". It matches the Rfam family "Bacterial small subunit ribosomal RNA", at positions 67 to 675 of the family's 1533-position model. The record is from RNAcentral.
CGGUAGCAGGAAGUGCUUGCACUUCGCUGACGAGUGGCGGACGGGUGAGUAAUACUUAGGAACAUGCCUUUGUGUGGGGGAUAACCAUUGGAAACGAUGGCUAAUACCGCAUAAUGUCUUUGGACCAAAGAGGGCUUUCGGGCUCUCGCGCAAAGAGUGGCCUAAGUGAGAUUAGCUUGUUGGUGAGGUAAAGGCUCACCAAGGCGACGAUCUCUAGCUGUUCUGAGAGGAAGAUCAGCCACACUGGGACUGAGACACGGCCCAGACUCCUACGGGAGGCAGCAGUGGGGAAUAUUGCACAAUGGGGGCAACCCUGAUGCAGCCAUGCCGCGUGUGUGAAGAAGGCCUUCGGGUUGUAAAGCACUUUCAGUUGUGAGGAAAGGUUGAUGGUUAAUACCCAUCAGCUGUGACGUUAGCAACAGAAGAAGCACCGGCUAACUCCGUGCCAGCAGCCGCGGUAAUACGGAGGGUGCGAGCGUUAAUCGGAAUUACUGGGCGUAAAGCGCACGCAGGCGGUUUGUUAAGCUAGAUGUGAAAGCCCCGGGCUCAACCUGGGAAUAGCAUUUAGAACUGGCAGGCUAGAGUCUUGGAGAGGGGAGUGGAAUUUCUGGUG